This 474-nucleotide ribosomal RNA is filed under the name uncultured bacterium. RNAcentral's name for it is "bacterial SSU rRNA". It matches the Rfam family "Bacterial small subunit ribosomal RNA", at positions 28 to 502 of the family's 1533-position model. The record is from RNAcentral.
GAUGAACGCUGGCGGCGUGCUUAACACAUGCAAGUCGAGCGAAGCACUUAAGUUUGAUUCUUCGGAUGAAGACUUUUGUGACUGAGCGGCGGACGGGUGAGUAACGCGUGGGUAACCUGCCUCAUACAGGGGGAUAACAGUUAGAAAUGACUGCUAAUACCGCAUAAGACCACGGUACCGCAUGGUACAGUGGUAAAAACUCCGGUGGUAUGAGAUGGACCCGCGUCUGAUUAGGUAGUUGGUGGGGUAACGGCCUACCAAGCCGACGAUCAGUAGCCGACCUGAGAGGGUGACCGGCCACAUUGGGACUGAGACACGGCCCAGACUCCUACGGGAGGCAGCAGUGGGGAAUAUUGCACAAUGGAGGAAACUCUGAUGCAGCGACGCCGCGUGAAGGAUGAAGUAUUUCGGUAUGUAAACUUCUAUCAGCAGGGAAGAAAAUGACGGUACCUGACUAAGAAGCCCCGGCUAACU